This is a long non-coding RNA of Trifolium pratense (red clover), 293 nucleotides long. RefSeq lists it as uncharacterized. The record is from RefSeq and is a predicted model, not a curated record. The transcript is spliced from 3 exons. Lineage: Eukaryota; Viridiplantae; Streptophyta; Magnoliopsida; Fabales; Fabaceae.
UUUAGGGUGCUAUCUGAAGGCUUUCAAGACCAAAAUAAUCAACUUUCAUCUUCAAUUGACAACGGUACACUACAUCCAUAUCAACUCGAAGGAAACUCAUGUUAUACUUUCAGAUGAAAUGAAAUGGGACUCGGAAAAAACCAUAUAAAGUAUCCCUUUUCGAAAAGAAUGUUUCUCUGGUGGUUGCUCCACUUUCUAUACAUAACACAUGCAGAUGGUUGAUGAAGGUCGACAUUAAAGCAUUUCUCUGCAAAAGACAUCGCGUGCUUUUGAUAGGAACUCCCUCUUCAGGU